Molecule: ribosomal RNA, 422 nt
Filed under: uncultured bacterium
Lineage: Bacteria
Description: bacterial SSU rRNA
Rfam family: Bacterial small subunit ribosomal RNA
Source: RNAcentral
AAUCAACGCUGGCGGCGUGCCUAACACAUGCAAGUCGAACGCGAAAGUCCCGCAAGGGAUUAGUAGAGUGGCAAACGGGUGAGUAACACGUGGGUGACCUGCCUUCGAGUGGGGGAUAACGUCCCGAAAGGGACGCUAAUACCGCAUGACAUCCUGCCUUUGAAGAGGUGGAGCUUAAAGCCGGGGAUCGCAAGACCUGGCGCUUGAAGAGGGGCCCGCGCCUGAUUAGCUAGUUGGUGAGGUAACGGCUCACCAAGGCAUCGAUCAGUAUCCGGCCUGAGAGGGCGACGGACACACUGGGACUGAGACACGGGCCCAGACUCCUACGGGAGGCAGCAGUGGGGAAUUGUUCGCAAUGGGCGCAAGCCUGACGAUGCAACGCCGCGUGGAGGAUGAAGAUCUUCGGGUCGUAAACUCCUUUC